UUAAAUGAAGCCAAAUUGUGAGGCAUUUUAUUGUUAAUAAAAUAAGUGAAAAUUUUUUCCAUUUAAA
RNAcentral lists this transfer RNA (67 nucleotides) under Rhodopsalta cruentata. RNAcentral describes it as "tRNA-Asn". The record is from RNAcentral. Lineage: Eukaryota; Metazoa; Arthropoda; Insecta; Hemiptera; Cicadidae.